This 253-nucleotide ribosomal RNA is filed under the name uncultured bacterium. RNAcentral describes it as "partial 16S ribosomal RNA". It matches the Rfam family "Bacterial small subunit ribosomal RNA", at positions 524 to 776 of the family's 1533-position model. The record is from RNAcentral.
UACGUAGGGUGCAGGCGCUAAUCGGAAUUACUGGGCGUAAAGCGUGCGCAGGCGGUUUCUUAAGUCAGAUGUGAAAGCCCCGGGCUUAACCUGGGAACUGCGUUUGAAACUGGGAGACUUGAGUGUGGCAGAGGGGGGUGGAAUUCCACGUGUAGCAGUGAAAUGCGUAGAUAUGUGGAGGAACACCGAUGGCGAAGGCAGCCCCCUGGGAUAACACUGACGCUCAUGCACGAAAGCGUGGGGAGCAAACAGG